RNAcentral lists this ribosomal RNA (469 nucleotides) under uncultured bacterium. Its description in RNAcentral is "bacterial SSU rRNA". It matches the Rfam family "Bacterial small subunit ribosomal RNA", at positions 34 to 498 of the family's 1533-position model. The record is from RNAcentral.
CGCUGGCGGCAUGCUUUACACAUGCAAGUCGAACGGCAGCACGGGCUUCGGUCUGGUGGCGAGUGGCGAACGGGUGAGUAAUAUAUCGGAACGUACCCAAGAGUGGGGGAUAACGUAGCGAAAGUUACGCUAAUACCGCAUACGAUCUAAGGAUGAAAGUGGGGGAUCGCAAGACCUCAUGCUCCUGGAGCGGCCGAUAUCUGAUUAGCUAGUUGGUGAGGUAAAGGCUCACCAAGGCGACGAUCAGUAGCUGGUCUGAGAGGACGACCAGCCACACUGGAACUGAGACACGGUCCAGACUCCUACGGGAGGCAGCAGUGGGGAAUUUUGGACAAUGGGCGCAAGCCUGAUCCAGCAAUGCCGCGUGAGUGAAGAAGGCCUUCGGGUUGUAAAGCUCUUUUGUCAGGGAAGAAACGGUAGAGGCUAAUAUCCUUUGCUAAUGACGGUACCUGAAGAAUAAGCACCGGCU